CGGGACACGUGGUAUCCUGUCUGAAUAUGGGGGGACCAUCCUCCAAGGCUAAAUACUCCUGACUGACCGAUAGUGAACCAGUACCGUGAGGGAAAGGCGAAAAGAACCCCGGCGAGGGGAGUGAAAAAGAACCUGAAACCGUGUACGUACAAGCAGUGGGAGCCUCUUAAUGGGGUGACUGCGUACCUUUUGUAUAAUGGGUCAGCGACUUAUAUUCUGUAGCAAGGUUAACCGAAUAGGGGAGCCGAAGGGAAACCGAGUCUUAACUGGGCGUUAAGUUGCAGGGUAUAGACCCGAAACCCGGUGAUCUAGCCAUGGGCAGGUUGAAGGUUGGGUAACACUAACUGGAGGACCGAACCGACUAAUGUUGAAAAAUUAGCGGAUGACUUGUGGCUGGGGGUGAAAGGCCAAUCAAACCGGGAGAUAGCUGGUUCUCCCCGAAAGCUAUUUAGGUAGCGCCUCGUGAAUUCAUCUCCGGGGGUAGAGCACUGUUUCGGCAAGGGGGUCAUCCCGACUUACCAACCCGAUGCAAACUGCGAAUACCGGAGAAUGUUAUCACGGGAGACACACGGCGGGUGCUAACGUCCGUCGUGAAGAGGGAAACAACCCAGACCGCCAGCUAAGGUCCCAAAGUCAUGGUUAAGUGGGAAACGAUGUGGGAAGGCCCAGACAGCCAGGAUGUUGGCUUAGAAGCAGCCAUCAUUUAAAGAAAGCGUAAUAGCUCACUGGUCGAGUCGGCCUGCGCGGAAGAUGUAACGGGGCUAAACCAUGCACCGAAGCUGCGGCAGCGACACUAUGUGUUGUUGGGUAGGGGAGCGUUCUGU
Molecule: ribosomal RNA, 824 nt
Filed under: Escherichia coli
Lineage: Bacteria; Pseudomonadati; Pseudomonadota; Gammaproteobacteria; Enterobacterales; Enterobacteriaceae
Description: partial 23S ribosomal RNA
Rfam family: Bacterial large subunit ribosomal RNA
Source: RNAcentral